AACAAACUAACCUGCCAUGGCAAAAAGACUAACAACAGUACAUAACACUGGCAUAUCCAGAAAUUUUCAUAAGUGGGGGCCUACUGACUGCCUAAGCGGCGGCCCGCUCCAGUCACACUUCAGUGAUUCCCUAUAUAAACAACCAAAUUUUUUCCCAAAAAGGGCCCCCCCCUCUAAAUCCGCCUCUGCAUAAAACACAACAGAAAACUAAAGACGAAGCAAAACCAGGGAAUAAUAUGUUGUCUGAUUUUCUUGCAACUGGUCAGUUUGAUUUGUGAAUUUUGCUUAGAGCUAUUUAAGAAUAGCCAUUUCUGAAAAACAGACAGAGUCUAUUAUGAAGAUGAUGCAUGGUGAAAAAUAAAGCAGAGAUUUUAUUUUCAUUAAAUCUUUCUGG
Molecule: long non-coding RNA, 394 nt
Filed under: Mytilus galloprovincialis (Mediterranean mussel)
Lineage: Eukaryota; Metazoa; Mollusca; Bivalvia; Mytilida; Mytilidae
Source: RNAcentral